RNAcentral lists this ribosomal RNA (253 nucleotides) under uncultured bacterium. RNAcentral's name for it is "partial 16S ribosomal RNA". It matches the Rfam family "Bacterial small subunit ribosomal RNA", at positions 524 to 776 of the family's 1533-position model. The record is from RNAcentral.
UACGAAGGGGGCUAGCGUUGCUCGGAAUCACUGGGCGUAAAGCGCACGUAGGCGGCUUCUUAAGUCAGGGGUGAAAUCCUGGAGCUCAACUCCAGAACUGCCCUUGAUACUGAGGAGCUUGAGUCCGGGAGAGGUGAGUGGAACUGCGAGUGUAGAGGUGAAAUUCGUAGAUAUUCGCAAGAACACCAGUGGCGAAGGCGGCUCACUGGCCCGGUACUGACGCUGAGGUGUGAAAGCGUGGGGAGCAAACAGG